CAGUAGCCGCGGUAAAACGGAGGGUGCAAGCGUUAAUCGGAAUUACUGGGCGUAAAGCGCACGCAGGCGGUCUGUCAAGUCGGAUGUGAAAUCCCCGGGCUCAACCUGGGAACUGCAUUCGAAACUGGCAGGCUAGAGUCUUGUAGAGGGGGGUAGAAUUCCAGGUGUAGCGGUGAAAUGCGUAGAGAUCUGGAGGAAUACCGGUGGCGAAGGCGGCCCCCUGGACAAAGACUGACGCUCAGGUGCGAAAGCGUGGGGAGCAAACAGGAUUAGAUACCCGAGUAGUCCCUGUCUCUUAUAC
Molecule: ribosomal RNA, 301 nt
Filed under: uncultured bacterium
Lineage: Bacteria
Description: partial 16S ribosomal RNA
Rfam family: Bacterial small subunit ribosomal RNA
Source: RNAcentral